CAUUAGUUUGCUGCAGCCGCCUUAAACAAGGACAAUGGGGCACUUCAUGACUAAGUGUGAGGCCAGAAGCUCUGUGCCUGCCAGCCACACAGAAAUGCAUUACCACCAUUGCAUCACCAUGUCCAGUCUGUUUAUUCCCCACUCUUCAAAGCCCAGGUAAGAUAUGGCCAGCCAGCCUGGACAUGAACAUGGAACAU
This 197-nucleotide long non-coding RNA is filed under the name Cricetulus griseus (Chinese hamster). RNAcentral describes it as "lncRNA (ENSCGRG00000026184.1)". The record is from RNAcentral. Lineage: Eukaryota; Metazoa; Chordata; Mammalia; Rodentia; Cricetidae.